This is a non-coding RNA of Vombatus ursinus (common wombat), 70 nucleotides long. The record is from Ensembl. NCBI's taxonomy places the organism in Eukaryota, Metazoa, Chordata, Mammalia, Diprotodontia, Vombatidae.
UAAAGGUUUAGGUUUAAACCAGACCAAAGGCCUUCAAAGCCUUAAGCAGGUGUUCAACCACCUAACCUUU